RNAcentral lists this long non-coding RNA (357 nucleotides) under Mytilus galloprovincialis (Mediterranean mussel). The record is from RNAcentral. Lineage: Eukaryota; Metazoa; Mollusca; Bivalvia; Mytilida; Mytilidae.
CUCAUUGUUUAUUCGUUGGUCCCUGGUUGAUAGUUGUGUUCAUUGUUUAUUCGUUGGUCCCUUGUGGAUAGUUUUGGUCUCUUGUGGAUAGUUGAGUUCAUUGUUUAUUCGUUGGUCCCUGGUGGAUAGUUUUCUCAUUGUUUAUUCGUUGGUCCCUGGUUGAUAGUUGUGUUCAUUGUUUUAUUCGUUGGUCCCUGGUGGAUAGUUCAGUUCAUUGUUUAUUCGUUGGUCCCUGGUGGAUAGUUGUCUCAUUGUUUAUUCGUUGGUCCCUGGUGGAUAGUUGUCUCAUUGUUUAUUCGUUGGUCCCUGGUGGAUAGUUGUGUUCAUUGUUUAUUCGUUGGUCCCUGGUUGAUAGUU